This 213-nucleotide long non-coding RNA is filed under the name Elaeis guineensis (African oil palm). RNAcentral describes it as "long non-coding RNA (EGUI_LNC046967)". The record is from RNAcentral. Lineage: Eukaryota; Viridiplantae; Streptophyta; Magnoliopsida; Arecales; Arecaceae.
GGUAUUCUAGUUCAUUACCUCUCUCUUUUUAUUUUUUAGAUUUAGAUAAUUAAAUUAUGAACAUAGACAUUACUUUUAGGAGAGAGAUUUAGAGGCAAAAUUUAGCAUUAUCAACUUCAUCAGAUCUAUUUUUUUAUUUAGUAAAACUUUAUUUGAUAUAAGAUAUUUGAUUUAGUUAUUUGAAUUCAAAUUCAAUUAUGAGUAUUUAAAGUU